Capsella rubella is the source of this 107-nucleotide small nucleolar RNA. It matches the Rfam family "Plant small nucleolar RNA R71". From Rfam's summary of the family: R71 is a member of the C/D box family of snoRNAs containing the C (UGAUGA) and D (CUGA) box motifs. Multiple nearly identical copies of this snoRNA have been identified in Arabidopsis, and it is thought to function as a 2'-O-ribose methylation guide for 18S ribosomal RNA. Lineage: Eukaryota; Viridiplantae; Streptophyta; Magnoliopsida; Brassicales; Brassicaceae. The record is from Rfam.
AAACCAAGGUGAGGGCAUUGCAUUUGGUACCUUUUAAAUCUUUCAAAGGCUUUACUAAAACUUUCGUUGUUCCGUUGAGUGAAUUCUGAAAUCUGAUUCCUCAACCU